This 248-nucleotide ribosomal RNA is filed under the name uncultured Ruminiclostridium sp. RNAcentral describes it as "partial 16S ribosomal RNA". It matches the Rfam family "Bacterial small subunit ribosomal RNA", at positions 524 to 771 of the family's 1533-position model. The record is from RNAcentral. Lineage: Bacteria; Bacillati; Bacillota; Clostridia; Eubacteriales; Oscillospiraceae.
UACGUAGGGAGCGAGCGUUGUCCGGAUUUACUGGGUGUAAAGGGUGCGUAGGCGGCGAGGCAAGUCAGGCGUGAAAUCUAUGGGCUUAACCCAUAAACUGCGCUUGAAACUGUCUUGCUUGAGUGAAGUAGAGGUAGGCGGAAUUCCCGGUGUAGCGGUGAAAUGCGUAGAGAUCGGGAGGAACACCAGUGGCGAAGGCGGCCUACUGGGCUUUAACUGACGCUGAAGCACGAAAGCAUGGGUAGCAA